UACGUAGGGUGCGAGCGUUGUCCGGAAUUAUUGGGCGUAAAGAGCUCGUAGGCGGUGUGUCACGUCGUUCGUGAAAACCUGCAGCUUAACUGUGGGCGUGCGGUCGAUACGGGCAUCACUGGAGUUCGGCAGGGGAGACUGGAAUUCCCGGUGUAGCGGUGAAAUGCGCAGAUAUCGGGAGGAACACCGGUGGCGAAGGCGGUUCUCUGGGCCUUACCUGACGCUGAGGAGCGAAAGCGUGGGGAGCGAACAGG
This 254-nucleotide ribosomal RNA is filed under the name uncultured bacterium. RNAcentral's name for it is "partial 16S ribosomal RNA". It matches the Rfam family "Bacterial small subunit ribosomal RNA", at positions 524 to 776 of the family's 1533-position model. The record is from RNAcentral.